Molecule: ribosomal RNA, 911 nt
Filed under: uncultured bacterium
Lineage: Bacteria
Description: bacterial SSU rRNA
Rfam family: Bacterial small subunit ribosomal RNA
Source: RNAcentral
CCGCAGGUGGUUUUGCACGUCGGGGGUUAAAUGUACGAGCUCAACUCGUACACCGCUCUCGAUACGACAAAACUAGAGACUGGGAGAGGUAAGCGGAAUUACAGGUGUAGUAGUAAUAUGCGUUAAUAUCUGUAAGAACACCAAAUGCGUAGGCAGCUUACUGGAACAGUUCUGACACUCAGGGACGAAAGCGUGGGUAGCGAAAGGGAUUAGAUACCCCUGUAGUCCACGCCCUAAACGAUGGAUGCUAGAUAUUGGGAGUAUCGACCCUCCCAGUGUCGGUUAAAAAAGCUAACGCAUUAAGCAUCCCGCCUGGGGAGUACGGUCGCAAGGCUAAAACUCAAAGGAAUAGACGGGGACCCGCACAAGCGGAGGAGCAUGUGGUUUAAUUCGACGGUAAGCGAGGAACCUUACCUAGGUUUGAAAUGUAGCUGCAAGCCGGUGGAAACAUUGGCCGCCUUCGAGGGUGCUACACAGGUGCUGCAUGGUUGCCGUCAGCUCGUGUCGUGAGAUGUACCGUUAAGUCGGAUAACGAGCGCAACCCCUGUCCCGUGUUGAAUAUUCACGGGAUACUGCCUCGGAUAACGGGGAGGAAGGUGGGGAUGACGUCAAAUCAGCAUGGCUCUUACAUCUAGGGCUACACACGUGCUACAAUGGUCAGGACAAUGGGUUGCCAAACCGUAAGGUGGAGCUAAUCCCAACAAACCUGGCCUCAGUUCGGAUUGAGGGCUGAAAUUCGCCCUCAUGAAGUUGGAUUCGCUAGUAACGGCCGAUCAGCCACGCGGCCGUGAAUACGUUCUCGGGUCUUGUACUCACCGCCCGUCAAGUCAAGAGAGUUGCAAAUGCCCGAAGGCUCCCGAUGAGGGGACGAAGGUAGAGGCAGCGAUAGGGACUAAGUCGUAACAAGGUAA